CCUACGGGAGGCAGCAGUGAGGAAUAUUGGUCAAUGGACGAGAGUCUGAACCAGCCAAGUAGCGUGAAGGAUGACUGCCCUAUGGGUUGUAAACUUCUUUUAUAUGGGAAUAAAAUGUUCCACGUGUGGGAUUUUGUAUGUACCAUAUGAAUAAGGAUCGGCUAACUCCGUGCCAGCAGCCGCGGUAAUACGGAGGAUCCGAGCGUUAUCCGGAUUUAUUGGGUUUAAAGGGAGCGUAGGUGGAUUGUUAAGUCAGUUGUGAAAGUUUGCGUCUCAACCGUAAAAUUGCAGUUGAAACUGGCAGUCUUGAGUACAGUAGAGGUGGGCGGAAUUCGUGGUGUAGCGGUGAAAUGCUUAGAUAUCACGAAGAACUCCGAUUGCGAAGGCAGUUCACUGGACUGCAACUGACACUGAGGCUCGAAAGUGUGGGUAUCAAACAGGAUUAGAUACCCCAGUAGUC
RNAcentral lists this ribosomal RNA (460 nucleotides) under uncultured bacterium. RNAcentral's name for it is "partial 16S ribosomal RNA". It matches the Rfam family "Bacterial small subunit ribosomal RNA", at positions 338 to 795 of the family's 1533-position model. The record is from RNAcentral.